AUCCUGUUUACAAUAAACCUUCCUUCAGCUUUAUAUUUCAAUAUAGUUUGUCAACACAUCGGACUUUAUUAAAGUUGUUGAUUUGUCAACAUGUUUCACAGUUUUCGGCUUGACAUGAAGGUCAAUGAAUGAUCCUACUACUGAACUCAUUAGCGUCUACGUGGGUGAAGACGAAAGAGUAAAUAUGUUUCAAUUAGAAAGUAGCAGUAACCCUCCCCG
This 219-nucleotide long non-coding RNA is filed under the name Mytilus galloprovincialis (Mediterranean mussel). The record is from RNAcentral. Lineage: Eukaryota; Metazoa; Mollusca; Bivalvia; Mytilida; Mytilidae.